This 468-nucleotide ribosomal RNA is filed under the name uncultured bacterium. Its description in RNAcentral is "partial 16S ribosomal RNA". It matches the Rfam family "Bacterial small subunit ribosomal RNA", at positions 28 to 507 of the family's 1533-position model. The record is from RNAcentral.
GACGAACGCUGGCGGCGUGCUUAACACAUGCAAGUCGAACGGAAAGGCCCUGCUUUUGUGGGGUGCUCGAGUGGCGAACGGGUGAGUAACACGUGAGUAACCUGCCCCUGACUUUGGGAUAACUUCAGGAAACUGGGGCUAAUACCGGAUAGGAGCUCCUGCUGCAUGGUGGGGGUUGGAAAGUUUCGGCGGUUGGGGAUGGACUCGCGGCUUAUCAGCUUGUUGGUGGGGUAGUGGCUUACCAAGGCUUGGACGGGUAGCCGGCCUGAGAGGGUGACCGGCCACAUUGGGCCUGAGAUACGGCCCAGCCUCCUACGGGAGGCAGCAGUGGGGAAUAUUGCACAAUGGGCGGAAGCCUGAUGCAGCAACGCCGCGUGCGGGAUGACGGCCUUCGGGUUGUAAACCGCUUUCGCCUGUGACGAAGCGUGAGUGACGGUAAUGGGUAAAGAAGCACCGGCUAACUACGUG